RNAcentral lists this ribosomal RNA (253 nucleotides) under uncultured bacterium. Its description in RNAcentral is "partial 16S ribosomal RNA". It matches the Rfam family "Bacterial small subunit ribosomal RNA", at positions 524 to 776 of the family's 1533-position model. The record is from RNAcentral.
GACGUAGGGGGCGAGCGUUGUCCGGAUUUACUGGGCGUAAAGAGCGCGCAGGCGGUCGUUCAAGUCGAGUGUGAAAGCCCCCGGCUCAACUGGGGAGGGUCACUUGAUACUGAUCGACUCGAAGGCAGGAGAGGGAAGCGGAAUUCCCGGUGUAGUGGUGAAAUGCGUAGAUAUCGGGAGGAACACCAGUGGCGAAGGCGGCUUCCUGGCCUGUUCUUGACGCUGAGGCGCGAAAGCUAGGGGAGCAAACGGG